Molecule: ribosomal RNA, 435 nt
Filed under: Triticum aestivum (bread wheat)
Lineage: Eukaryota; Viridiplantae; Streptophyta; Magnoliopsida; Poales; Poaceae
Description: partial small subunit ribosomal RNA
Source: RNAcentral
AUGGAAUCUACACCCUCUUCUGCAAGCUGCGAGGCCAGGAUGUUCAGAACGCCAACAAUGCCUCCAAAUUCAGGUUUCAGGUCCUCUCCAGCGACGAACUCCUGCACCACGUUGUCCACCUCGAUCAGGCUGCACCCCGGGGUCUUCUUCAUGCUCCUGCUCCUUAUUGACUUCCUCGUGCUCGCGACCUCGCUCCACCGCCUCGCCGCGGCGUACACGUUGGCCAGCAUGACUAGGUUGCCGACGUCGUCUGGUUCCAGCGCGACGAGCCGCUCGGCAGCCACCACGGCCGUGUCGACAUCGCCGUGGCUUCGGCAUGCGCUGAGCAUUGAGCCCCAUAUCUUCGCAUCGGCAGGAAAUGGCAUGUCCAGUAUGAGAUUGAGAGCACGCACGAUUUGUCCUGACCGACCGAGGAGGUCGACGAUGCAGCCAUAG